AUUGAACGCUGGCGGCAUGCCUUACACAUGCAAGUCGAACGGUAACAGGUCUUCGGAUGCUGACGAGUGGCGAACGGGUGAGUAAUACAUCGGAACGUGCCCAGACGUGGGGGAUAACGCGGCGAAAGCUUUGCUAAUACCGCAUACGAUCUAAGGAUGAAAGCAGGGGACCGCAAGGCCUUGUGCGUUUGGAGCGGUCGAUGGCAGAUUAGGUAGUUGGUGGGAUAAAAGCUUACCAAGCCGACGAUCUGUAGCUGGUCUGAGAGGACGACCAGCCACACUGGGACUGAGACAUGGCCCAGACUCCUACGGGAGGCAGCAGUGGGGAAUUUUGGACAAUGGGCGAAAGCCUGAUCCAGCAAUGCCGCGUGCAGGAUGAAGGCCUUCGGGUUGUAAACUGCUUUUGUACGGAACGAAAAGGCUCUGGCUAAUACCUGGGGCACAUGACGGUACCGUAAGAAUAAGCACCGGCUAACUACGUG
This 482-nucleotide ribosomal RNA is filed under the name uncultured bacterium. RNAcentral's name for it is "partial 16S ribosomal RNA". It matches the Rfam family "Bacterial small subunit ribosomal RNA", at positions 30 to 507 of the family's 1533-position model. The record is from RNAcentral.